AAAAACAUCUUUUCUUGUUAGUUUUUGAAGUAUGGCCUGCCCGCUGACUUUGGUGUUGAAGGGCCGCGGUAUUUUGACCGUGCAAAGGUAGCAUAGUCAUUAGUUCUUUAAUUGUGAUCUGGUAUGAAUGGCUUGACGAGGCAUGGGCUGUCUUAAUUUUGAAUUGUUUAUUGAAUUUGGUCUUUGAGUUAAAAUUCUUAGAUGUUUUUAUGGGACGAGAAGACCCUAUAGAGUUUAACAUUUAUUAUGGUCCUUUUUCUGUUUGUGAGGGUUCACUGGGCCGUCUAAUAUGUUUUGUUGGGGUGAUGGGAGGGAUAUAAUUUAACCCCUCCUUUUUAUUAUUAUAUUUAUUUAUAUUUGCUUGAUCCAUUUAUUUUGAUUGUAAGAUUAAAUUACCUUAGGGAUAACAGCGUUAUCUUCCUUGAGAGUUCUUAUCGGCAGGGGGGUUUGCGACCUCGAUGUUGGAUUAAGGUUUAUUUUCGGUGUAGGGGCUGAAAUUAUUAGGUCUGUUCGACCUUUAAAAUCUUACGUGAUCUGA
RNAcentral lists this ribosomal RNA (538 nucleotides) under Reticulitermes clypeatus. RNAcentral describes it as "partial large subunit ribosomal RNA". It matches the Rfam family "Bacterial large subunit ribosomal RNA", at positions 1809 to 2608 of the family's 2925-position model. The record is from RNAcentral. Lineage: Eukaryota; Metazoa; Arthropoda; Insecta; Blattodea; Rhinotermitidae.